GGAAGGAUCAUUAACACGUCUACACGUACUCACCCCCCGUGCACGAGUAAGCGGAAGUCACCCUCGUUCGUCUGCUUCUAGGAGCAUUUGUGUCGAGGGUCACAGCGUAGUUGGGUCUUUGUACCUUAGCUCGCUCUUCUCUUCAUUCACGUUAAUCCCCUUAGCCUGUCCUCAGGCGUCUUUAGUUGUGCAGAGCUUCGUGCUCCUGUUGAUUGUAUAUCAAUACAUAACAACUCUUAGCAAUGGAUAUCUCGGUUCUCGCAUCGAUGAAGAACGCAGCGAAAUGCGAUACGUCAUGCGAAUUGCAGAACUCAGUGAAUCAUCAAAUCUUUGAACGCAAAUGGCGCUCUCGGGUAUGCCCGGGAGCACGCCUCUCUCAGUAUCGGUUCUACACUCCUCCUGCUCGCAGCGAGGGACAUUGGGAGUCGAGCGGUCGCGCUCGUCUCCUUAACAUGUGGAAGGCAUCGCAGCGGCUGGUUGAGCCUCCGCUGCGCUCUGCGGCGCUUUCGCCUAGACUGACGUGAUUAAGCGGUUUAUACGCAUCUACGUCCUCCUAGCGCGCCGACAGUGAGCUGACCCAGCAAGAACAACAACGGCGACCUAGUCGCUCUGACUUUGAUCUGAGAUGAAGCGGGAAGACCCCCUGAAUUUAAGCAUAUUAAUAAGGGGAGGAAAAGAAACUAACAAGGAUUCCCUUAGUAACGGCGAGUGAAGCGGGAAGAGCUCAAUGUGACAAUCGAUCUUCCUUGAUUUGAAGGUCGAGUUGUAGUCUUUGGACGGAUGUAUCAGCGUUGUCGCUUCAUGUAAGUCUGUUGGAAUGCAGCGUCGGAGAGGGUGAGAAUCCCGUCUGUCAUGAAGUCGCCGAGUGCACGACGCGUACGAUCUCUGUUCCUCGAGUCGAGUUGCUUGGGAGUGCAGCUCUAAGUAGGUGGUAAGUUUCAUCGAAAGCUAAAUAUAGGCGAGAGACCGAUAGCGAACAAGUACCGUGAGGGAAAGAUGAAAAGAACUUUGAAAAGAGAGUUAAACAGUACUUGAAAUUGCUAGGAGGGAAGCGCUGACAAGUAGUCCUCUGUGUCCUCAUAUUCGCAUGUGUAGACGGCGUGCGCGCGGCAACGUAGUUGGCAACUCUGCCUGCUGCGCCGCGCGUCGUCUCGCGUGUUUAGUGAGGGCGCGGGAUUCAGCAUCCAUUCGCUGCUGCGGAGACGGUCGAAGGGAAGGUAGGGCCCGCUUUCGGGUUGGCCUGUUAUAGCCCUUCUUGCCCACGCGGCGGUGGAUGGAGGAAGAAAGAGUGCGCUGCUUGCGGCUCUCGGCGCGUGUUCCUGCACGUUGUCGCCUGGCUAGAUAGCAAUGCUAUGUACUGGGCGGCGGUGGGUACUGGGUGCGCGUCGAGAUGUACUCUCACGAUGCUGAAGAAAUGCUUGUCAUCGACCCGUCUUGAAACACGGACCAAGGAGUCUAACAUCUAUGCGAGUAGUGGGGUGUGUUAAACCCGCAUGCGGAAUGAAAGUAAAGAUUGAGGUUUCUCAAUUGAGGUAGGAAUCUGUAUGGCGACAUAUGGAGGCACUAUCGACCGAUCGUCACUUGUGAUAGAUUUGAGUGCAAGCAUAUCUGUUGGGACCCGAAAGAUGGUGAUCUAUGCCUGAACAGGGUGAAGCCAGGGGAAACUCUGGUGGAGGCUCGUAGCGAUACUGACGUGCAAAUCGUUCGUCUGAUUUGGGUAUAGGGGCGAAAGACUAAUCGAACCAUCUAGUAGCUGGUUCCCUC
Molecule: unclassified non-coding RNA, 1764 nt
Filed under: uncultured fungus
Lineage: Eukaryota; Fungi
Description: sequence contains 18S rRNA gene, ITS1, 5.8S rRNA gene, ITS2, 28S rRNA gene
Rfam family: Eukaryotic large subunit ribosomal RNA (bases 617-1764)
Source: RNAcentral